RNAcentral lists this unclassified non-coding RNA (338 nucleotides) under soil metagenome. RNAcentral describes it as "partial contains 5.8S ribosomal RNA, internal transcribed spacer 2, and large subunit ribosomal RNA". The stretch from base 1 to 121 matches the Rfam family "5.8S ribosomal RNA", at positions 35 to 154 of the family's 154-position model. The record is from RNAcentral.
GAUGAAGAACGUAGCGAAAUGCGAUAAGUAAUGCGAAUUGCAGAAUUUCCGUGAGUCAUCGAAUCUUUGAACGCACAUUGCGCCCAUUGGUAUUCCGUGGGGCAUGCCUGUUCGAGCGUCAUUUACCCCCUCAAGCUCCGCUUGGUGUUGGGCGUCUGUCCCGCUUCGCGCGCGGACUCGCCCCAAAGGUAUUGGCAGCGGUCGUGCCAGCUUCUCGCGCAGCACAUUGCGCUUCUUGAGGCACCGGUGGGCCCGCGUCCAUCAAGCUCACCCCCCCAGUUUGACCUCGGAUCAGGUAGGGAUACCCGCUGAACUUAAGCAUAUCAAUAAGCGGAGGA